RNAcentral lists this unclassified non-coding RNA (265 nucleotides) under Hevea brasiliensis (rubber tree). The record is from RNAcentral. Lineage: Eukaryota; Viridiplantae; Streptophyta; Magnoliopsida; Malpighiales; Euphorbiaceae.
CGAAGAUUCUGAAAAGGAAAUUCUUUUGGUUACAAAUGGAGAGGGAAUAGAUUCCCAUGGCCUCACUUCCCUCCUCGAAGCUCUUGUUCGUGAUUCCCGUUUUAAUGUUCACGUCUGCGCUCCUCAAUCGGACAGAUCCGUAUCUGGUCACUCAGUGACGGUUAGGGAGACUCUUGCUGCUUGUUCUGUUGAUAUUAACGGCGUCACUGCUGCCUAUGAAGUUUCUGGGACACCCGCGGAUUGCGUUUCUUUAGCUUUAUCGGGG